RNAcentral lists this small nucleolar RNA (140 nucleotides) under Antrostomus carolinensis (chuck-will's-widow). RNAcentral describes it as "Caprimulgus carolinensis (chuck-will's-widow) Small Cajal body specific RNA 11". It matches the Rfam family "Small Cajal body specific RNA 11". Rfam says of the family: scaRNAs are a specific class of small nuclear RNAs which localise to the Cajal bodies and guide the modification of RNA polymerase II transcribed spliceosomal RNAs U1, U2, U4, U5 and U12. The record is from Rfam by way of RNAcentral. Lineage: Eukaryota; Metazoa; Chordata; Aves; Caprimulgiformes; Caprimulgidae.
GUGUCCUGACCUCAUCCUGGCUGUUCCCCUCACCAGAGCUGUGGUGGUGGGGUCUGGGGGUGGACACAGAUCAACUUACCUCUCGUGUUAGGAGGGCUGCCCAAGACAUAUGCGAGCCCUUAAAGGCAAGAGAGGACACU